Molecule: ribosomal RNA, 207 nt
Filed under: uncultured bacterium
Lineage: Bacteria
Description: partial 16S ribosomal RNA
Rfam family: Bacterial small subunit ribosomal RNA
Source: RNAcentral
CACGUAGGCGGAUUGAAAAGUUGGGGGUGAAAUCCCGGGGCUCAACCUCGGAACUGCCUCCAAAACUAUCAGUCUUGAGUUCGAGAGAGGUGAGUGGAAUUCCGAGUGUAGAGGUGAAAUUCGUAGAUAUUCGGAGGAACACCAGUGGCGAAGGCGGCUCACUGGCUCGAUACUGACGCUGAGGUGCGAAAGCGUGGGGAGCAAACA